Long non-coding RNA from Brassica napus (rape), 815 nucleotides. RefSeq lists it as uncharacterized. NCBI's taxonomy places the organism in Eukaryota, Viridiplantae, Streptophyta, Magnoliopsida, Brassicales, Brassicaceae. The transcript is spliced from 3 exons. The record is from RefSeq and is a predicted model, not a curated record.
AUGCCACAUCAUCAAUUCGAGCCCUGAAGAACUAACACGUGUCACUCAGUAAUGAAACUCACCGUUUCAUUAAACAAAAAAAGGAGAUUUGUGGGAUUUUGUUCAGUUAUUGGUCCGUAAAGUGUCUCUUCUUUGUAGUUGUGAAGCCGACCCUCAUGUCUAGGGUUCAUCGCCUACUGCGUUUUCCAUCAACGGAGGUCCUGAGUCUUUAAUGGAGGUUUAUCACUUUCGUCAGUAAUCGUUGCGUUUAUGUUGGUUCGCGUCGUUUCGUUAUCUAUUCUUCUCCUCACAUGAGUUACAAGUUGCAUUGAUUCAACUUCAUUAACGAGAUCUUAACUCUUACCACCAUCUGCAACCAAGAUCAUUCAUUCAAUGAUUCGUAUCCCUCUUCCAAUCGGUGGAUAUCCACCUAUAAUUUGAAAUCCGGCCAUUAAUUGUUUCUUCCAACAUGGGGGUGACGUUGCUCAGAUUCUGGGAAACUAGGAACUUCAAACGAUGUGGCUCUUUUCAGCUAGCAUUACUCGCCUCAACAGCUUAAACAAGAGAACCCGUGAUGUGAUCGCUUCAAGUUUCAUUCAAGCUACCCUUGCACCAUUCUGCAACACUUUGUCAUGAUGCGUUGGGUCAGUAAACACUUCUGAAUCUCUUGCUUCGCAAUACAACCUUUAUGACCAAGCAGAGAAGUUGAGAUCAAAAGUACCAAGAUUUGAAGCACGUUCUAACCAACAUGUUUAUCUUUUAGUAGUUAUUUUUUCAUACCAAUUGGUUAUUGUAGCUUUCUAGAUUAUAGUUUAUAUUAUUUCUCUGAUCUCUCA